AUGCAAGUCGAGCGGAGCGAGGGUGCUUGCACCUUAGCUUAGCGGCGGACGGGUGAGUAAUGCUUAGGAAUCUGCCUAUUAGUGGGGGACAACGUUUCGAAAGGAACGCUAAUACCGCAUACGUCCUACGGGAGAAAGCAGGGGAUCUUCGGACCUUGUGCUAAUAGAUGAGCCUAAGUCGGAUUAGCUAGUUGGUGGGGUAAAGGCCUACCAAGGCGACGAUCUGUAGCGGGUCUGAGAGGAUGAUCCGCCACACUGGGACUGAGACACGGCCCAGACUCCUACGGGAGGCAGCAGUGGGGAAUAUUGGACAAUGGGCGAAAGCCUGAUCCAGCCAUGCCGCGUGUGUGAAGAAGGCCUUUUGGUUGUAAAGCACUUUAAGCGAGGAGGAGGCUUCUUUUGGUUAAUACCCAAAAGUAAGUGGACGUUACUCGCANAAUAAGCACCGGCUAACUCUGUGUCAGCAGCAGCGGUAA
Molecule: ribosomal RNA, 476 nt
Filed under: uncultured Acinetobacter sp.
Lineage: Bacteria; Pseudomonadati; Pseudomonadota; Gammaproteobacteria; Moraxellales; Moraxellaceae
Description: bacterial SSU rRNA
Rfam family: Bacterial small subunit ribosomal RNA
Source: RNAcentral